Molecule: ribosomal RNA, 438 nt
Filed under: uncultured bacterium
Lineage: Bacteria
Description: partial 16S ribosomal RNA
Rfam family: Bacterial small subunit ribosomal RNA
Source: RNAcentral
CUACGGGAGGCUCCAGUGAGGAAUAUUGCACAAUGGGGGGAACCCUGAUGCAGCAACGCCGCGUGGAGGAUGACGCAUUUCGGUGUGUAAACUCCUUUUAUAUGUCAAGAAAAUGACGGUAGCAUAUGAAUAAGCACCGGCUAACUCCGUGCCAGCAGCCGCGGUAAUACGGAGGGUGCAAGCGUUACUCGGAAUCACUGGGCGUAAAGGACGCGUAGGCGGGUUGGAAAGUAGGUGGUGAAAUCCUACAGCUUAACUGUAGAACUGCACUUGAAACUUCUAAUCUAGAGUAUGGGAGGGGGAGAUGGAAUUAGUGGUGUAGGGGUAAAAUCCGUAGAUAUCACUAGGAAUACCUAAGCGAAGGCGAUCUCCUGGAACAUUACUGACGCUAAGGCGUGAAAGCGUGGGGAGCAAACAGGAUUAGAUACCCUUGUAGUC